Molecule: small RNA, 132 nt
Filed under: Salmonella enterica subsp. enterica serovar Okatie
Lineage: Bacteria; Pseudomonadati; Pseudomonadota; Gammaproteobacteria; Enterobacterales; Enterobacteriaceae
Description: RtT sRNA
Rfam family: RtT RNA
About the family: This family represents a bacterial cis-regulatory element known as RtT RNA. The exact function of RtT is unknown although it is thought that it may be involved in changing the cellular response in relation to amino acid starvation.
Source: RNAcentral
AUAUCUCUUUGUACGGGAAGGAUGAGAAGCUUCGACUAAGGUUCGACUCGAGCGAAAGCGAGAGAACGUUGCCAACGGCAACGGCCCGAAGGGCGAAGCGCGCGGCGCUGAGUAAUCCUUCCCCCACCACCA